GAUCAUGGCUCAGGAUGAACGCUGACAGAAUGCUUAACACAUGCAAGUCUACUUGAAUUUUGGUCUUUGACUUAGAUUUGGGUGGCGGACGGGUGAGUAACGCGUAAAGAACUUGCCUCACAGUUAGGGACAACAUUUGGAAACGAAUGCUAAUACCUGAUAUUAUGAUUUUAGGGCAUCCUAAGAUUAUGAAAGCUAUAUGCGCUGUGAGAGAGCUUUGCGUCCCAUUAG
Molecule: ribosomal RNA, 231 nt
Filed under: uncultured bacterium
Lineage: Bacteria
Description: partial 16S ribosomal RNA
Rfam family: Bacterial small subunit ribosomal RNA
Source: RNAcentral